Molecule: long non-coding RNA, 1007 nt
Filed under: Gopherus evgoodei (Goodes thornscrub tortoise)
Lineage: Eukaryota; Metazoa; Chordata; Testudines; Testudinidae
Description: lncRNA (ENSGEVG00005005101.1)
Source: RNAcentral
GAUUCAAUCCCCUGCCCCCGCCCCCCCCCCACCAACCAGUGUUACACAAACCCACGGGAAACUACCUCUGGAACCGAACCGCCGGGCUGGGCCUCGAAGCGCCGGGAUCCCUCUUGCUGGGACCGCUUGGCUCAGAGCCUGUUGUAAAGAGACAUUGAUUGAAAUGGCAAAUCUAUUUAUGUAUAAAAGAUAACAAUCCGGAAACAGAGCCAGAAAUACGGCUGUGUCGGGGUGGGGCGAGAGGAGACGCCUGCCCGGGCACUGGCCUCGGACCAUGGCAUCGAACCGCUCCGGUGAGGUCUCUCCUCAGCCUUGGGAGCGGCAGCUGGGCCGCGGAGAGGUGGGAGCUGGCCCCUGUGCGCUGAGAAGAGCAGGAGCCCGUUAGUCUGUGCAGAACGAAGAGUCGUCGCAGUGGUCCGGAAGGGGCUGGCUCUGAUGCAGGGCCCUGAGCUGCAGUGCCUGAGGGAUGCCGGCUUUCAACACAGCCUGACCUGGUGGGGAGAGCUGUGCCUGGCCCCUCCAUCUGCUGGAGAACCUAGCAAUGCCAGGCUGCAGCCAGGUCGCAGGGCAGGGGGUGGGGAGAGAGUCACGGCGGAGUGAGUGCGUAUGGGGGUCACUGCAGCGUGGGGGUCGAGUUGUGCAUGUGAGGGUCAUUGCAGCGUGGGGGUGGAGUGGUACGUGUGGGGGUCAUUGCAGCGUGGGGGUGGAGUGGUACGUGUGGGGGUCAUUGCAGCGUGGGGGUGGAGUGGUACGUGUGGGGGUCACUGCAGCGUGGGGGUGGAGUUGUGCAUGUGAGGGUCAUUGCAGCGUGGGGGUGGAGUGGUACGUGUGGGGGUCACUGCAGCGUGGGGGUGGAGUGGUGCGUGUGGGGGUCACUGCAGCGUGGGGGUGGAGUGGUACGUGUGGGGGUCAUUGCAGCGUGGGGGUGGAGUGGUACGUGUGGGGGUCACUGCAGCGUGGGGGUGGAGUUGUGCAUGUGAGGGUCAUUGCAGCGUGGGGGUGGAGUG